Molecule: ribosomal RNA, 707 nt
Filed under: uncultured Syntrophus sp.
Lineage: Bacteria; Pseudomonadati; Thermodesulfobacteriota; Syntrophia; Syntrophales; Syntrophaceae
Description: bacterial SSU rRNA
Rfam family: Bacterial small subunit ribosomal RNA
Source: RNAcentral
AAGGCCUUCGGGUCGUAAAGCUCUGUCGCAGGGGAAUAACACAAUGAAGGUACCCUGUAAGAAAGGAUCGGCUAACUUCGUGCCAGCAGCCGCGGUAAGACGAGGGAUCCAAGCGUUGUUCGGAAUCAUUGGGCGUAAAGCGGGUGUAGGUGGCUUUGUAAGUCAGGUGUGAAAUCCCAGGGCUCAACCCUGGACGUGCAUUUGAUACUGCAGAGCUUGAGUGUGGGAGAGGUUACUAGAAUACCUGGUGUAGUGGUGAAAUACGUAGAUAUCAGGUGGAAUACCGGAGGCGAAGGCGGGUAACUGGCCUAACACUGACACUCAGACCCGAAAGCGUGGGGAUCAAACAGGAUUAGAUACCCUGGUAGUCCACGCCGUAAACGAUGGACACUUGUUGUUGGAGGUAUUGACCCCUUCAGUGACGUAGCUAACGCGUUAAGUGUCCCGCCUGGGGAGUACGGUCGCAAGAUUAAAACUCAAAGAAAUUGACGGGGGCCCGCACAAGCGGUGGAGCAUGUGGUUUAAUUCGAUGCAACGCGAAGAACCUUACCUGGGUUUGACAUGAACUGGAAGACUGGCAGAAAUGUCGUCGCCCGCAAGGGCCGGUUCACAGGUGCUGCAUGGCUGUCGUCAGCUCGUGUCGUGAGAUGUUGGGUUAAGUCCCGCAACGAGCGCAACCCCCAUCCUCAGUUGCCAGCACGUAGUGG